RNAcentral lists this ribosomal RNA (152 nucleotides) under Salinivibrio kushneri. Its description in RNAcentral is "partial 16S ribosomal RNA". It matches the Rfam family "Bacterial small subunit ribosomal RNA", at positions 1386 to 1533 of the family's 1533-position model. Lineage: Bacteria; Pseudomonadati; Pseudomonadota; Gammaproteobacteria; Vibrionales; Vibrionaceae. The record is from RNAcentral.
CACACCGCCCGUCACACCAUGGGAGUGGGCUGCACCAGAAGUAGAUAGCUUAACCUUCGGGAGGGCGUUUACCACGGUGUGGUUCAUGACUGGGGUGAAGUCGUAACAAGGUAGCCCUAGGGGAACCUGGGGCUGGAUCACCUCCUUACUGA